AUUGGUUUUUCUGUUAUUGAAUGUGUUUUUAUAUUGUCUUCUUCCCAACCCUUCUUCCAGUGGGUGCAGGUGGAGUUUCUUCCUCUCCUGGUGAAAAUGGGUUCAAGGUUCCCUUCUGA
RNAcentral lists this long non-coding RNA (119 nucleotides) under Cricetulus griseus (Chinese hamster). RNAcentral's name for it is "lncRNA (ENSCGRG00000025619.1)". The record is from RNAcentral. Lineage: Eukaryota; Metazoa; Chordata; Mammalia; Rodentia; Cricetidae.